This 71-nucleotide transfer RNA is filed under the name Cordylochernes scorpioides. Its description in RNAcentral is "tRNA-Gly". It matches the Rfam family "tRNA". Rfam says of the family: Transfer RNA (tRNA) molecules are approximately 80 nucleotides in length. Their secondary structure includes four short double-helical elements and three loops (D, anti-codon, and T loops). The record is from RNAcentral. Lineage: Eukaryota; Metazoa; Arthropoda; Arachnida; Pseudoscorpiones; Chernetidae.
CCAUCGGUGGUUCAGUGGUAGAAUGCUCGCCUACCACGCGGCCGGCCCGGGUUUGAUUUCCGGCCGAUGCA